AGGAAUCUCGGGUUGCUGCAAAGAAACAGCUUUUGCAGGAAACGGUUACACAAGCAAACAAUGCCAGAUUCGAUCAGACAGCAGAAACUGAAACUUUAGCCGAAAUAGCAGAAAAUAUGACGGUGGCAGUUGUGGAAUAUACAAACCAGAGUGUGUAUAUUGGAGAAAUGGAG
Molecule: long non-coding RNA, 173 nt
Organism: Mya arenaria
Lineage: Eukaryota; Metazoa; Mollusca; Bivalvia; Myida; Myidae
Exons: 3
Source: RefSeq, a predicted model, not a curated record